CGGAAGUCAGAAGUCGGAACUCAGAAGUCAGAAGUCGGAAGUCGGAAGUCAGAAGUCAGAAGUCGGAACUCGGAAGUCAGAAAUGGCCCUCCUCGGCCAUCGUAUAAAUGAUCAUCAAAAACAUUGAACUUUCUCGGUAGAAACAUUGAACUUUGUCAUGAGAAUAGACAAUACUUUACUGCGAUCGUUCAUCCUUAGUGCAUUCAGUAAAUGAGUCCGCCUUUUACAAAUCGCAGCCCGCGAUUGUAAAACACGGACUCAGUCCGCGUUUUACAAAUCUUAGUUCGCGAUUUGUAAAACACGGACUCAGUCCGUGUUUUCCCGGUCCAGUCCAGUCGAGUCCGUGUUUUACAAAUUCAGUCCGAGAUUUAUAAAACACGGACUCAGUCCGCAUUUUCCCGGUCCAGUCCAGUCCGGUCCAGUCCAGUCCAGUCCGUCUUUUACAACAUGCCUGACUAGAGGCAUCAUUGUAUUGUUGGUUAAUUCGAAAAUAAUACUAAUAACUAGAAAAUACAUGCCGGCAUGCAGAAACCCUCGCCUUGCUGACAAAACCAUUUUAUUUUCCGAACGUGAAGUAUUUUAAGUAGUUGUCAUGGUAACACGAUAAUUUUUAAGACUAUUUUUACAAAUGAAAAAUCCCCUAUAAAUAUCACUUUUAAUUACAAAAUUAUCAAUUUCCUAAACAUAUAUAUGUUAGGUAUGUUAUUAUACGUAAUAUAAGCUUGAAUUUAAGGUAAAAUUCGACCACAAACGCUUCGCAAAACGUUUUAAAAUGUUCUUUUACUAUAGAACUAAACUGCCUUUAUCGAUAAACUCAGUUGAGUUCGAAAUAAAAUGAUUCCAAAUUCUCCCAUGCAAAUAACUUUGCUUAGUAUAAUAAAAAGUGUAAUCAAUAAAGAAACACUGAAAUAAUACGCUGUCUUGUUUCAUAUUUAUACACAACGAUCGGCUUUUAAAGUAAUUACAGUAGGUAUGUUAUUAUACGUAAUAUAUAAAGCUUCAAUUUAAGGUAAAAUUCAACCACAAACGCUUCGCAAAACGUUUGAAAGUGUUCUUUUACUAUAUAGAACUAAACUGCCUUUAUCGAUAAACUCUGAGUUCGAAAUAAAAUGAUUCCAAAUUCUCCCAUGUAAAUAACUUUGCUUAGUAUAAUAAAAAGUG
Molecule: non-coding RNA, 1161 nt
Organism: Paramuricea clavata
Lineage: Eukaryota; Metazoa; Cnidaria; Anthozoa; Malacalcyonacea; Plexauridae
Source: the annotation of a GenBank genome assembly